Molecule: ribosomal RNA, 498 nt
Filed under: uncultured bacterium
Lineage: Bacteria
Description: partial 16S ribosomal RNA
Rfam family: Bacterial small subunit ribosomal RNA
Source: RNAcentral
GACGAACGCUGGCGGCGUGCCUAAUACAUGCAAGUCGAGCGGACGAUUCGAAAGCUUGCUUUUGAAUCGUUAGCGGCGGACGGGUGAGUAACACGUGGGCAACCUGCCCUGUAGACGGGGAUAACACCGAGAAAUCGGUGCUAAUACCGGAUAACACGAAAUGUCGCAUGACGUUUCGUUGAAAGGCGGCGCAAGCUGCCGCUACAGGAUGGGCCCGCGGCGCAUUAGCUAGUUGGUGAGGUAACGGCUCACCAAGGCGACGAUGCGUAGCCGACCUGAGAGGGUGAUCGGCCACACUGGGACUGAGACACGGCCCAGACUCCUACGGGAGGCAGCAGUAGGGAAUCUUCCGCAAUGGACGAAAGUCUGACGGAGCAACGCCGCGUGAGCGAAGAAGGCCUUCGGGUCGUAAAGCUCUGUUGUUAGGGAAGAACAAGUAACGUAGUGACUGACGUUACUAUGACGGUACCUAACGAGAAAGCCACGGCUAACUACGUG